CCUCAGGAGGGAACGUGACCCUACAGUGUGGCUCACUGUUGGGUUUUGGAAGGAGAGCUCCCUGCCAUACCCUCCCUCUCUGUUGAUCCGGGC
Molecule: long non-coding RNA, 93 nt
Filed under: Dasypus novemcinctus (nine-banded armadillo)
Lineage: Eukaryota; Metazoa; Chordata; Mammalia; Cingulata; Dasypodidae
Description: lncRNA (ENSDNOG00000049940.1)
Source: RNAcentral